GUGUCAGCCGCCGCGGUAAUACAGAGGGUGCAAGCGUUGUUCGGAAUCAUUGGGCGUAAAGGGCGCGUAGGCGGUCUUGCAAGUCGGAUGUGAAAGCCCAGGGCUCAACCUUGGAAGUGCAUCCGAAACUGCAAGACUCGAGUCUCGGAGAGGGUGGUGGAAUUCCCAGUGUAGAGGUGAAAUUCGUAGAUAUUGGGAGGAACACCGGUGGCGAAGGCGACCGCCUGGACGAUGACUGACGCUGAGGCGCGAGAGCGUGGGGAGCAAACAGGAUUAGAUACCCCCGUAGUCC
Molecule: ribosomal RNA, 292 nt
Filed under: uncultured bacterium
Lineage: Bacteria
Description: partial 16S ribosomal RNA
Rfam family: Bacterial small subunit ribosomal RNA
Source: RNAcentral